GACUAACGCUGGCGGCAUGCAUCAUACAUGCAAGUCGAACGGACUAGGUUGUAGCAAUACGAUCUAGUUAGUGGCGAACGGGUGAGUAACACGUAGGUAACCUGCCCUUGAGAUCGGGAUAACAUGCCGAAAGGCGUGCUAAUACCGGAUAUGACCACAGACCCGCAUGGGUUCGGGGUAAAAGGAAUGGCCGCAAGGCUAUCGCUUGAGGAUUGGCCUGCGGGCUAUCAGCUAGUUGGUGGGGUAACGGAUCACCAAGGCUAUGACGGCUAGCCGGCCUGAGAGAGUGAACGGCCACACUGGAACUGAGACACGGUCCAGACUCCUACGGGAGGCAGCAGUAGGGAAUCUUCCGCAAUGGGCGAAAGCCUGACGGAGCAAUGCCGCGUGAGUGAUGAAGGCCUUCGGGUCGUAAAGCUCUGUUGAGGGGGAAGAAAGGUAGUUCGGAUAAUACCCGAAUUGCCCUGACGGUACUCCUCGAGGAAGCCCCGGCUAAUUACGUGCCAGCAGCCGCCGUAA
This 519-nucleotide ribosomal RNA is filed under the name uncultured bacterium. Its description in RNAcentral is "partial 16S ribosomal RNA". It matches the Rfam family "Bacterial small subunit ribosomal RNA", at positions 28 to 523 of the family's 1533-position model. The record is from RNAcentral.